UGGGUAUCUGCCCUUUGGCCUGGAAUAANNNNAGGAAACUUGUGACUAAUACCGGAUAAGUCUUUACGGAGAAAGCUUUAUGCACCAUUGGAUGAGCACCGCACUUGAUUAGUUAGUUGGUAGGGUAAUGGCCUACCAAGACUGUGAUCAAUAGCUGAUUUGAGAGGAUGAUCAGCCACAUUGGGACUGACACACGGCCCAAACUCCUACGGGAGGUAGCAGUGGGGAAUCUUGCACAAUGGAGGAA
Molecule: ribosomal RNA, 247 nt
Filed under: uncultured Alphaproteobacteria bacterium
Lineage: Bacteria; Pseudomonadati; Pseudomonadota; Alphaproteobacteria
Description: partial 16S ribosomal RNA
Rfam family: Bacterial small subunit ribosomal RNA
Source: RNAcentral